RNAcentral lists this ribosomal RNA (253 nucleotides) under uncultured bacterium. RNAcentral describes it as "partial 16S ribosomal RNA". It matches the Rfam family "Bacterial small subunit ribosomal RNA", at positions 524 to 776 of the family's 1533-position model. The record is from RNAcentral.
UACGAAGGGUGCAAGCGUUACUCGGAAUUACUGGGCGUAAAGCGCACGUAGGCGGCUUUGUAAGUUAGAGGUGAAAGCCCGGGGCUCAACCCCGGAAUAGCCUUUAAGACUGCAUCGCUUGAACACGGGAGAGGUGAGUGGAAUUCCGAGUGUAGCGGUGAAAUGCGUAGAUAUCUGGAGGAACACCGGUGGCGAAGGCGGCAUCCUGGACCGAUACUGACGCUGAGGAGCGAAAGCCAGGGGAGCAAACGGG